This 482-nucleotide ribosomal RNA is filed under the name uncultured bacterium. RNAcentral's name for it is "partial 16S ribosomal RNA". It matches the Rfam family "Bacterial small subunit ribosomal RNA", at positions 30 to 507 of the family's 1533-position model. The record is from RNAcentral.
AUUGAACGCUGGCGGCAUGCCUUACACAUGCAAGUCGAACGGUAACAGGUCUUCGGAUGCUGACGAGUGGCGAACGGGUGAGUAAUACAUCGGAACGUGCCCAGACGUGGGGGAUAACGAGGCGAAAGCUUUGCUAAUACCGCAUACGAUCUAAGGAUGAAAGCAGGGGACCGCAAGGCCUUGCGCGGUUGGAGCGGCCGAUGGCAGAUUAGGUAGUUGGUGGGAUAAAAGCUUACCAAGCCGACGAUCUGUAGCUGGUCUGAGAGGACGACCAGCCACACUGGGACUGAGACACGGCCCAGACUCCUACGGGAGGCAGCAGUGGGGAAUUUUGGACAAUGGGCGAAAGCCUGAUCCAGCAAUGCCGCGUGCAGGAUGAAGGCCUUCGGGUUGUAAACUGCUUUUGUACGGAACGAACAGGCUCUGGCUAAUACCUGGGGCACAUGACGGUACCGUAAGAAUAAGCACCGGCUAACUACGUG